UACGGAGGGUGCGAGCGUUGUUCGGAAUCACUGGGCGUAAAGCGAGUGUAGGCGGCUUCUUAAGUUCGGUGUGAAAGCCCGGGGCUCAACCUCGGAAGUGCACCGGAUACUGGGAGGCUCGAGUACCGGAGAGGAGGGUGGAAUUCCUGGUGUAGCGGUGAAAUGCGUAGAUAUCAGGAGGAACACCGGUGGCGAAGGCGGCCCUCUGGACGGAUACUGACGCUGAGACGCGAAAGCGUGGGGAGCAAACAGG
RNAcentral lists this ribosomal RNA (253 nucleotides) under uncultured bacterium. RNAcentral's name for it is "partial 16S ribosomal RNA". It matches the Rfam family "Bacterial small subunit ribosomal RNA", at positions 524 to 776 of the family's 1533-position model. The record is from RNAcentral.